RNAcentral lists this ribosomal RNA (500 nucleotides) under uncultured bacterium. RNAcentral describes it as "partial 16S ribosomal RNA". It matches the Rfam family "Bacterial small subunit ribosomal RNA", at positions 30 to 523 of the family's 1533-position model. The record is from RNAcentral.
AUUGAACGCUGGCGGCAGGCCUAACACAUGCAAGUCGAGCGGAUGACGGGAGCUUGCUCCUUGAUUCAGCGGCGGACGGGUGAGUAAUGCCUAGGAAUCUGCCUGGUAGUGGGGGACAACGUUUCGAAAGGAACGCUAAUACCGCAUACGUCCUACGAGAGAAAGCAGGGGACCUUCGGGCCUUGCGCUAUCAGAUGAGCCUCGGUCGGAUUAGCUAGUUGGUGGGGUAAUGGCUCACCAAGGCGACGAUCCGGAACUGGUCUGAGAGGAUGAUCAGUCACACUGGAACUGAGACACGGUCCAGACUCCUACGGGAGGCAGCAGUGGGGAAUAUUGGACAAUGGGCGAAAGCCUGAUCCAGCCAUGCCGCGUGUGUGAAGAAGGUCUUCGGAUUGUAAAGCACUUUAAGUUGGGAGGAAGGGCAGUAAGUUAAUACCUUGCUGUUUUGACGUUACCGACAGAAUAAGCACCGGCUAACUCUGUGCCAGCCGCCGCAGUAA